This is a non-coding RNA of Sarcophilus harrisii (Tasmanian devil), 740 nucleotides long. NCBI's taxonomy places the organism in Eukaryota, Metazoa, Chordata, Mammalia, Dasyuromorphia, Dasyuridae. The record is from the annotation of a RefSeq genome assembly.
AGCUGCCUACUUAAAAACACUUCCUUCUGGGCAGAACUCCUUUCUACCCAGAUAUUAUCAGCCCUGGUCUGCAACUGCAACUGUGCAGACCCCAUCCUUCCUAGAGAAUCCUGCCAGACUCAGCAGCAUGUCUGCCAGGACCCUCCCUACUCUUGCCAGAAUCUACCUCCUGGGUGUACUCCUCUCCAUUCUCCCAGGUUCCGAAGCCCAGAUGCUAGUGGAGAAAGGAGGAAAAGUGACACAUGAAGGCCAGUCCGUGACCCUGAUCUGCCAGUCUGUGACCUCUAGCUUUAACUUCAGGGAAUAUGCCAUAUCCUGGCACUGGAGCCCAACUGAGAGCCACAGGGAGCUGGUGGCCAGCAUCAGCCCAAAAACUGGCAGUGACAAAACAUACAGCUCCAGGAUUCAAGGCAGGGCUUUCAUCUCCAGGAACAAUAUGGAGAAAACUGUCUCUCUGACCUUAAACCGGCUCCAAAAGGAGGACUCAGGCACAUACUACUGUGCCAGACUCACUCUGCUAGAGCCCAGGCAGAGACCUUAACACAAACCUGGGAUUAAAGCCCCAGAUAACUGUGCUGUGUGGUGUUCUGUGAGUAUGUCUGUGGGGAAGGGAAAAAAUAGGCUCUCCAUGUAUGCAUUUUUGAGUGUUCAGAGAAGGGAAGAGAAAGGCUCCAUGUGUGUGUCUGUGUGUUUACAUAUGUACCUGUAUACAGGGAAAGGAAGAAAUAAAUUAUGUGUGU